This 1372-nucleotide ribosomal RNA is filed under the name uncultured bacterium. Its description in RNAcentral is "bacterial SSU rRNA". It matches the Rfam family "Bacterial small subunit ribosomal RNA", at positions 28 to 1381 of the family's 1533-position model. The record is from RNAcentral.
GAUGAACGCUGGCGGCGUGCCUAAUACAUGCAAGUCGAGCGAACGGACGAGAAGCUUGCUUCUCUGAUGUUAGCGGCGGACGGGUGAGUAACACGUGGAUAACCUACCUAUAAGACUGGGAUAACUUCGGGAAACCGUAGCUAAUACCGGAUAAUAUUUUGAACCGCAUGGUUCAAAAGUGAAAGACGGUCUUGCUGUCACUUAUAGAUGGAUCCGCGCUGCAUUAGCUAGUUGGUAAGGUAACGGCUUACCAAGGCAACGAUGCAUAGCCGACCUGAGAGGGUGAUCGGCCACACUGGAACUGAGACACGGUCCAGACUCCUACGGGAGGCAGCAGUAGGGAAUCUUCCGCAAUGGGCGAAAGCCUGACGGAGCAACGCCGCGUGAGUGAUGAAGGUCUUCGGAUCGUAAAACUCUGUUAUUAGGGAAGAACAUAUGUGUAAGUAACUGUGCACAUCUUGACGGUACCUAAUCAGAAAGCCACGGCUAACUACGUGCCAGCAGCCGCGGUAAUACGUAGGUGGCAAGCGUUAUCCGGAAUUAUUGGGCGUAAAGCGCGCGUAGGCGGUUUUUUAAGUCUGAUGUGAAAGCCCACGGCUCACCCGUGGAGGGUCAUUGGAAACUGGAAAACUUGAGUGCAGAAGAGGAAAGUGGAAUUCCAUGUGUAGCGGUGAAAUGCGCAGAGAUAUGGAGGAACACCAGUGGCGAAGGCGACUUUCUGGUCUGUAACUGACGCUGAUGUGCGGAAGCGUGGGGAUCAAACAGGAUUAGAUACCCUGGUAGUCCACGCCGUAAACGAUGAGUGCUAAGUGUUAGGGGGUUUCCGCCCCUUAGUGCUGCAGCUAACGCAUUAAGCACUCCGCCUGGGGAGUACGACCGCAAGGUUGAAACUCAAAGGAAUUGACGGGGACCCGCACAAGCGGUGGAGCAUGUGGUUUAAUUCGAAGCAACGCGAAGAACCUUACCAAAUCUUGACAUCCUUUGACAACUCUAGAGAUAGAGCCUUCCCCUUCGGGGGACAAAGUGACAGGUGGUGCAUGGUUGUCGUCAGCUCGUGUCGUGAGAUGUUGGGUUAAGUCCCGCAACGAGCGCAACCCUUAAGCUUAGUUGCCAUCAUUAAGUUGGGCACUCUAAGUUGACUGCCGGUGACAAACCGGAGGAAGGUGGGGAUGACGUCAAAUCAUCAUGCCCCUUAUGAUUUGGGCUACACACGUGCUACAAUGGACAAUACAAAGGGCAGCGAAACCGCGAGGUCAAGCAAAUCCCAUAAAGUUGUUCUCAGUUCGGAUUGUAGUCUGCAACUCGACUACAUGAAGCUGGAAUCGCUAGUAAUCGUAGAUCAGCAUGCUACGGUGAAUACGUUCCCGGGUCU